This 1227-nucleotide long non-coding RNA is filed under the name Salvia miltiorrhiza (redroot sage). RNAcentral's name for it is "long non-coding RNA (SMIL_LNC006632)". The record is from RNAcentral. Lineage: Eukaryota; Viridiplantae; Streptophyta; Magnoliopsida; Lamiales; Lamiaceae.
GGCUGGAUAGCUUGCAGCAUUCUGAGAUUAGUUGGGUUGCUAGGUGUGAUAAUGCUUUAGCUGAUAGUCUUGCUAAGCAUGCGCUUUUGUGUCGUUUUUCCCCUUCUUCUUUUGAUGUUUUCCCUAUUGAAUUCAACUUUGGUUCGUUGGUUUAAUGAAAGUUUUCUUAUUUUUCCUCANAAAAAAAAAAGUCUAAGAACAAGUAAUUAUCUUCCUACUUCUUUUGGGGCGGUCAAAACUCAAAACUAAUUAAUUAGAUGUAGCUAGCUGGCUAAUUAAGUAAGCCCUCUUUGAAAGUUAUUCGUUGCUAAUUAAUUAGCACUCUUAUCUUAGUAUACCAAGUGCAAAUAUGCAAACUUUUCCAGUAAAUCUUACUAUAUCAAUAAGAUGUAUAAUUAAGGACGUAACUAAUGAAAUUAGUUUGAAUUUUUGAAGGUAUUAAGUUUAAAAUCAAUUAUCGGAUGUUAUUGUAUACAUACAGUGAUUUGAAUAUUUAGGUAUAUGAUGAGAACAUCACAAUAUUUACUUCUAAAAAAAGCUAAUAUGUGUACUAAUAUAGUGUACAAUUCAGUAUCUUUAAAUAUCAUUCUGCCAGAAAAGAACAAAAAAAAAACCAAACAAUUAAUUAUUCCAAUAAACUCUGUAUACAUGUAUGCAGUAUGCAUAUCAUGAAAUGAAACCUUAACAUCAAACCUCACAACCAAAUGAAAAUCUUGCAAAAAAAUUGAGAAGCAAAUAUAUAUAUAUAAGCAACUAUUGAAAUAAAUUAAAAUCCAUCAUUAUAUAUAUAUUUAUAAAUUCCACACAUAUAUAUAGAAAAAUGAUGGAUACCUGAAGGUGGAGGUCGAUGAAUGUGAGGAGCUAUAACAUUAUGAUCACGUUCAACACCAUUAUUUUUUGGGCCGUGAAUAUGUUCUUGAUGAGAGCCUUUUCUAAAAUUACGAGUUGCCAAAACGCACAGCCUAGUUUUAUCAAUGCAAUUGCCCAUUAAUUAAUAUAUAAAUAUGAGGCCAAACGCCUCUCGACGAGAACAAAAUUAUUUAUUGAUCAAUUUGUGAUCAUAAUUUUGUCGUCGUGAUUUCUACCAUUUCGUCUCCUCCUUCUCUUUGAUCUGUGUAAUUUGAGAGAUAGAAUGGGUAUCAGACCAAGCUAGGAGAAGGAGCAUGAUAGAGAACGAAUUUUGUGCAGGCCACAAAAUUCGUCUUACUAAUUCACAUGCUUUUUCAU